UUGACCUCAAAUCAGGUAGGACUACCCGCUGAACUUAAGCAUAUCAAUAAGCGGAGGAAAAGAAACUAACAAGGAUUCCCCUAGUAACUGCGAGUGAAGCGGGAAAAGCUCAAAUUUGAAAUCUGGCAGCUCUUUGAACUGUCCGAGUUGUAAUCUAGAGAAGUGUUACCUGUGCUGGACCGUGUACAAGUCUCCUGGAAUGGAGCGUCACAGAGGGUGAGAAUCCCGUCUUUGACACGGACUGCCUGUACGUUAUGGUGCGCUCUCAAAGAGUCGAGUUGUUUGGGAAUGCAGCUCAAAAUGGGUGGUAAAUGCCAUCUAAAGCUAAAUAUUGGCGAGAGACCGAUAGCGAACAAGUACCGUGAGGGAAAGAUGAAAAGUACUUUGGAAAGAGAGUUAAACAGUACGUGAAAUUGCUGAAAGGGAAACGCUUGAAGUCAGUCGCGUUGGCUAGAAAUCAACCUUGCUUUUGCUUGGUGUACUUUCUUGUUGACGGGUCAGCAUCAAUUUUGACCGUUGGAUAAAGUCUUUGGGAAUGUGGCAUCUCAGGAUGUGUUAUAGCCCAUUGUCGCAUACAGCGGUUGGGAUUGAGGAACUCAGCACGCCCGCAAGGGACGGGUUUUUGGACCACGUUCGUGCUUAGGAUGCUGGCAUAAUGGCUUUAAUCGACCCGUC
Molecule: ribosomal RNA, 675 nt
Filed under: Inocybe geophylla
Lineage: Eukaryota; Fungi; Basidiomycota; Agaricomycetes; Agaricales; Inocybaceae
Description: eukaryotic LSU rRNA
Rfam family: Eukaryotic large subunit ribosomal RNA
Source: RNAcentral